AUCCAGCAGAGGAGUCCAGAAAAGAACGAAACAUGCGUCCUGGAU
Non-coding RNA from Schistosoma curassoni, 45 nucleotides. The record is from Rfam. NCBI's taxonomy places the organism in Eukaryota, Metazoa, Platyhelminthes, Trematoda, Strigeidida, Schistosomatidae.